GUACAUAUACUAAAAAAAAAAUUGGAGCAAGGCCCAAUUUUAGCAUGGCCCUUGUACAAGGAUGACAUGCAAGUUUUUGAAGUGUUCCACAUAUUU
RNAcentral lists this small nuclear RNA (96 nucleotides) under Octodon degus (degu). The record is from RNAcentral. Lineage: Eukaryota; Metazoa; Chordata; Mammalia; Rodentia; Octodontidae.